Molecule: long non-coding RNA, 2700 nt
Organism: Sapajus apella (tufted capuchin)
Lineage: Eukaryota; Metazoa; Chordata; Mammalia; Primates; Cebidae
Exons: 4
Source: RefSeq, a predicted model, not a curated record
AAUAUUCAUUUAUCCACUUUAAAACUUAUCAAAAACACAUGUUUUCAAAAAGAAAAUUAUUUCAAAAAGUUACAAUUUACAAAGCAUUAUUCUAAUAGAGUCCAAUCAAAUGUUUGUUUUAGGGGAUAGAGAGAUGAGUGCUGACAAGUGUAAAAGGUCCUCAGUUCAGGGAUCUCCACAGCAAUGAGGCAAGCAUGUUGCCUCUGUCUCUGUAGAACCAAAAGAAAUUCUAGAGCCAUUCUAAUUAGGAUGAUUUAUGUUUUUCUAUUGUCAUCUAUAAUUCCUGCUUUAAACCCAAUGAGUCACUUGUGCUUGGUGGUUAGAAACAGUGAGUUUGAGUUUUACAGGACGUGGGCUCCUUUAUGUUAUUCAUAUAAUAAUAGAAGCAAGCAAGGCAGAGGGUAUCCCUAAGCUAAUAACUGCUCCUCGUUCCUGACAAAGCUGCAGCACGAGUGAAUAUUCCAGCACUUUGACUCUCUCCUCAGACACAGGGAGUCCAACAUGGCGAAUUCUUACACAUCAGGAAUUGAUUAAAUACAGCACAGGCUCUGCUGAACCCCAUAUUAUGGGGCCUAGCCUGAGUUUAAGUGCAAUUCAGACAUGCUAGGUGAAUGGAUGAGGCUAACUUGCAUUUGGGCUAACACAUUUCCUAGCUAACACAUUUCUUGAGAGGAGUGACCCCCAAGUAAACAUAAGCAAACAAGAAACCACAGCUAGAGAAGAUGUGAGGCAGCUCAGGAUGCAGAUUGUGUAUCUCUCAGAUCUGUUUCUCAGCUCAGCCUCAGCUAGAUCAUGUCUGAUCUCUAUGGAGAAGAGAGAGAUGGAAAUAAACACUUAGGAAUAGCAGCACUGAAGACUGCAAGACCCUGGGGUGUGUAACAGCCAGAAGAGACUAUCUCCUCGAUUGCCACAGCACAGCCUGGGCACAGUGAGCUCUGCAGUGCGCUGGGGUGGACCUGGUGGAGCAGUGGCAGUGCUGACUGGCACUGCAGCCAGUGGAGUGUGGAGCUCGCACUGCUUGGUGGAGAAUGCCAGUGUUCAGCUAGCAGAGGUGGCCUCCAGCCUCUGCAGGCUUGCCUAGGAACAUGUACUGGAUAUACCAAGGAGCAUAUGUUGGUGGAGGGUUACUUUGCAGCCAGGUGGAAAUUGUGGGAUUAACAAUUAGGGGGCUAAGGGCCAUUGAAAUUUUCAUUAUGAUUGUUCCCAGUUAGGUUGUUUUGGCCAGAAAAUAAUCAAGGUGCUUUUAAUGAGGAUGCUUUGGUCUUAUGGAAAUAGCACUGUUGAUUUCUACUCAGCAGAGGUUAUGAGAGGUGCUAACCGUAUAAUUUUGGCAUUGAAAAGUGGAACUCAAGGGAUCAGCAAUUAAUGUUUGAUCCUUUUCUUGAGUGUUUCCUGUCUAAGGCCUCCCCUGAGUCUGAGGGGCUAAGACAGCACAGAAAAAGACGACCCAAUCAAUACCCUUGCAGGGAUGAAAAGAAGGACAUUUUGCUCCCAGGAAUUGCAGUGCUGCUACGAUUUCGAAUUACAUCACCUCAAGAAAGAAGAGACAGCCCCAUGGCAGAGCUGCAAAAGAGGACCAGUGCUCCACCUUGGUGAAAUACAGGAUGACUGGGGUGAAGGAGAUGAAGAUCAAAUUGAAGAAACCCAAGGUGGAGACAAAGUGUGCAGCUUCCCCAAAGUUGGCACUUCCGAGAAACAUCUUAAACAGGACCUGAAAUGAGAAAGAAGCUCUACAGUCACACAGAGACUUAGCCAGAGCAGAAAGGUAAUUCUGUUUCUCAAAGCUAGGUGAGUAUGAAGCAGCUGGUUCACAAAUGAAACCUUGAAUUCCAAAGCCUUCAGCAGCCCCUAAAAAUGCAGAUCUCAGACUCCACUGCUGGCAGCUGGUGUCCUCAAGUUGAAGACUGAAGAAAGCUUUCGGGAGAGCCAGCAAGAUGGCUAAAUAGGAACAGCUCUGGUCUGCAGCUUCCAGAGAGAUCAACACAGAUGGUGAGUGAUUCUUGCAUUUUCAACUGAGGUACCCAAUUUAUCUUACUGGGACUGGUUGGACAGUGGGUACAGCCCAUGAAGGUGAGCUGAAGCAGUGCAGGGUGUUGCCUCGCACCCAGGAAGCCCAAGGGUUCUGGGUAUUUCCCUUUCCUAUCCAAGAAAAGCCUUAAGAAACGAUACCAGAAGGAACAUGCACUCUGAUCCAGAUACUGCAUUUUACCCACAAUCUUCACAACCGGCAAACCAGGAGAUUCCCUUCAGUGCCUGGCUCAGUGGGUCCCACCCCUAUGGAGCCCAGCAAGCUAAGGUACACUGGCUUGAAAUUCUCACUACUAGCACAGUAGUCUGAGGUCAACCUGGGAUGCUUCAGCUUGGUGGGAGGAGGGGCAUCUGCCAUUGCUGAGGCUUGAGUUAGGCAAUUUUACCCUCACAAUGUAAACAAAGCUGUGGGAAGUUCAAUCUGUGUGGAGCCCACCACAGCUCAGCAAGAUAUAGUGAAAAGAAAGUGAGAAGUGUGGCCACUUUUCACAAUCUGCGGGCAGAUUGUGCCUCUCUGGGCAGGGCAUCUUUGAAAUAAAAGGCAGCAGCCCCAGUUAGGGACUUACAGACAAAACCCCCAACUCCCUGGGACAGAGCACCUGGGGAAAGAGGCAGUUGUGGGUGCAGCUUCAGUAGACGUAAACAUCCCUGCCUGACAGCUCUGAAAAGAGU